UACCGGGGAAUGAAGUUCUCCCCUGGCCGAAUCAUAUCGGACCAAAACCGCUGAAUGAAAAGCUGAUGACUUCUGCCU
RNAcentral lists this non-coding RNA (78 nucleotides) under Candidatus Heritagella caecorum. RNAcentral describes it as "Fluoride riboswitch". It matches the Rfam family "Fluoride riboswitch aptamer (crcB RNA motif)", at positions 10 to 60 of the family's 64-position model. Lineage: Bacteria; Bacillati; Bacillota; Clostridia. The record is from RNAcentral.